GAAACCAUAGCAGGUUGUCCUACUUUAAAAAGAAACAUAAAGGAAGCAAUACCUUAGUCUUUUUGGUGCUGCAAGGGAGGUCGUUUCUCUUGAAAUCAUCUUCAAGGGUGGAGCGAGCCAUUUGGUGAGUUAACUCAGCCAAGUAAUCUUCUUCGUCACUCUCUAUCUCGGUAGAGCCAACAACAACCACCUUGUUCUGCUUUGAUUUUUCACCAGCCAGAGAGUAAA
Molecule: long non-coding RNA, 228 nt
Filed under: Populus trichocarpa (black cottonwood)
Lineage: Eukaryota; Viridiplantae; Streptophyta; Magnoliopsida; Malpighiales; Salicaceae
Description: long non-coding RNA (PTRI_LNC001977)
Source: RNAcentral